AGUAAGGUCAGCUAACUAAGCUAUCGGGCCCAUACCCCGAAAAUGAAGGUUCGACUCCCUCCCCUACUA
Molecule: transfer RNA, 69 nt
Filed under: Campephilus imperialis (Imperial woodpecker)
Lineage: Eukaryota; Metazoa; Chordata; Aves; Piciformes; Picidae
Description: tRNA-Met
Rfam family: tRNA
About the family: Transfer RNA (tRNA) molecules are approximately 80 nucleotides in length. Their secondary structure includes four short double-helical elements and three loops (D, anti-codon, and T loops). Further hydrogen bonds mediate the characteristic L-shaped molecular structure. tRNAs have two regions of fundamental functional importance: the anti-codon, which is responsible for specific mRNA codon recognition, and the 3' end, to which the tRNAs corresponding amino acid is attached (by aminoacyl-tRNA synthetases). tRNAs cope with the degeneracy of the genetic code in two manners: having more than one tRNA (with a specific anti-codon) for a particular amino acid; and 'wobble' base-pairing, i.e. permitting non-standard base-pairing at the 3rd anti-codon position.
Source: RNAcentral